Camarhynchus parvulus is the source of this 505-nucleotide long non-coding RNA. The record is from Ensembl. Lineage: Eukaryota; Metazoa; Chordata; Aves; Passeriformes; Thraupidae.
GGGGGGCUCGGGGGGCUCGGGAGGGAUGGAAAGGAGGCGGGAGGGAACGGGGAUGUGCGGAAUGGGAAUGUGGAAAGUGUGCGAGAGAGCGGGAGUGUGCAAGGGACAUGAGUGUGCAAAGGCACAGGGACACAAGGGUGUGCGAGGUCAUGGAAGCGUCCGAGGGCACGAGGGCAGGGGAGGGGACACGGGCACACACGGGCACAGGGACACGGAUGGCAGCUGUGUCCCCGUGUCCCCGCAGGAGCUGCCUGGCUGCCCGAGACCCCUAUUGUGUCUGGCUGCCCUCCAGGGGCUGCGUCCCCUUCUCCGAGGACCUUCCGUGAGUUGUCCCUCCCAUCCCCGACCUCCUGGGGCGUGUGGGGACCCGCUGGGGACAGAGGGUGAUGUCCCCUCUGUGUCCCAGGAGUGGCUUCCAGCAGGACAUGGAGGGGUCCCUCGGGAUCAGCGGGACCUGCCAAGGGGCUGCAAGGGACGGUGACGAGGAUGGAGACCUGGCGCACGG